Molecule: ribosomal RNA, 1116 nt
Filed under: Triticum aestivum (bread wheat)
Lineage: Eukaryota; Viridiplantae; Streptophyta; Magnoliopsida; Poales; Poaceae
Description: partial small subunit ribosomal RNA
Source: RNAcentral
AUGCGGCCCCCCACCCGCAGCGAGUUCGGCUUCUCCGUCGCCGGCAAGCGCAAGCGCUCGCCGGAGUUCCCCUGCGCGUCGCGCUUCCGGCAGCGGCGGCUCAUCUCCUUCCUCGGGCACCACAACUUCAACCGCACCGUGGAUGUGUUGGUGACCCAGACGGACGUGUUCCUGUGCCUGAAGCACAUGGCCGAGCUGGUGGACGCGGGCUCCUGGGACAAGGCCAUCGACUACCUCUCCCGCUUCCUGCCCUCCGACCGCCCGCUCGGCGUCCACGGCCGCGCCCUCUUCCACUACCUCCGCGUGCACAAGGCCAUCGACGACGUGCUCGCCGGAGCCCCGGAGGCCCGCUCCGUCACCACCGCCCUCGACCAGUGCAUCAUCCGCCACCCCACCAAGAGCCAAGCCCUCACCAGGCUCCGCGCCAUCUUCUCCUCCCUCCUCUGCUCCAAGAGAUACAGGGCUGUCCUGGACAUAGGGCGCGUGAGGCACGAGGCUAAACUGACUAUCGUCGACUUGGUUUGUAAGACUCCAGAGUUGAAAGACCAUAUGCGACCCGCCCGCGGCUCAAUGGAACCCCAGAACGUGCUUCCCAUUGGCUUCGGCUACGCUUGUUUCCGUCCGAGGCGCCACGUGAAGAAACGAGGCGGCCGGAUCCCGGCGUCUGUGCUUGGCAGGCUUUAUCUUGAGAAGAAGAAGAAGAUGCUGCCUUCUUUGACUUCAGACCAUCACGCCCAGGGGUUAACUCGUGAGAUAAGUUUGGAAACCGGCAAGAUGAGUGAAGCGGAACUGACUCAAUCUGCCUCUAACAAAGGUGGUCCGAUUACUCCAGUCUCACGGACUAAUCUUGCUACCUUCAAAGUGGUUACUAAUCGUACAUUAUUCCGCAAGGCAAAAGAAUGGAUGGUAUAUUUUACAGAGGAAUGUUUGAAAGCUUGGCCAGACGCGAGUCAAGAUGAUCUACCUCAACUUUUCUGCAAGGAUGGUGAUCCUGAUGGCACAGUCUCCCGUACAGUGCCUGGUAGCUUGACUAGUCUUGCUGAAAAUUCAGCGAUUGCAUCAGUCAAAAAGCCAGGUAACUUAGUUGCAUAUUCUGAAAUCUCCAUACCAGGCUAA